RNAcentral lists this ribosomal RNA (253 nucleotides) under uncultured bacterium. RNAcentral describes it as "partial 16S ribosomal RNA". It matches the Rfam family "Bacterial small subunit ribosomal RNA", at positions 524 to 776 of the family's 1533-position model. The record is from RNAcentral.
UACGAGAGGCCCAAACGUUAUUCGGAUUUACUGGGCUUAAAGAGUUCGUAGGCGGUUCGACAAGUGAGGUGUGAAAGCCCUCGGCUUAACCGAGGAAUUGCGCUUCAAACUGUCGGGCUCGAGGGAGAUAGAGGUGAGCGGAACUGAUGGUGGAGCGGUGAAAUGCGUUGAUAUCAUCAGGAACACCAGAGGCGAAGGCGGCUCACUGGGUCUCUUCUGACGCUGAGGAACGAAAGCUAGGGGAGCAAACGGG